Molecule: ribosomal RNA, 253 nt
Filed under: uncultured bacterium
Lineage: Bacteria
Description: partial 16S ribosomal RNA
Rfam family: Bacterial small subunit ribosomal RNA
Source: RNAcentral
UACGAAGGGGGCUAGCGUUGCUCGGAAUCACUGGGCGUAAAGGGUGCGUAGGCGGGUCUUUAAGUCAGGGGUGAAAUCCUGGAGCUCAACUCCAGAACUGCAUUGGAUACUGCCAUGCUAGAGUACUGGAGAGGAAACUGGAAUUUACGGUGUAGCAGUGAAAUGCGUAGAGAUCGUAAGGAAGACCAGUGGCGAAGGCGAGUUUCUGGACAGUAACUGACGCUGAGGCACGAAGGCCAGGGGAGCAAACGGG